This 61-nucleotide transfer RNA is filed under the name Ictidomys tridecemlineatus (thirteen-lined ground squirrel). RNAcentral describes it as "Spermophilus tridecemlineatus (thirteen-lined ground squirrel) tRNA". It matches the Rfam family "tRNA", at positions 6 to 65 of the family's 71-position model. From Rfam's summary of the family: Transfer RNA (tRNA) molecules are approximately 80 nucleotides in length. Their secondary structure includes four short double-helical elements and three loops (D, anti-codon, and T loops). Further hydrogen bonds mediate the characteristic L-shaped molecular structure. tRNAs have two regions of fundamental functional importance: the anti-codon, which is responsible for specific mRNA codon recognition, and the 3' end, to which the tRNAs corresponding amino acid is attached (by aminoacyl-tRNA synthetases). tRNAs cope with the degeneracy of the genetic code in two manners: having more than one tRNA (with a specific anti-codon) for a particular amino acid; and 'wobble' base-pairing, i.e. permitting non-standard base-pairing at the 3rd anti-codon position. Lineage: Eukaryota; Metazoa; Chordata; Mammalia; Rodentia; Sciuridae. The record is from Rfam by way of RNAcentral. RNAcentral also lists the same sequence under 1 other name.
UGUGGCUCAGUGUUAGAGCACUUGCCUAGCACGUGUGAGGCCCUGGGUUCAAUUCUCAGCA